CGUGGCGGGGGUCUCCCCUGGGGCUCAGGCGGGCGGAAGAAGUCCUGGCCCCCCAAGGGCCGCGACUUGGUUGACGAGGUCCGCGUGGGAGCGUGGACGUGCCAAGCAGAUUGGCGGGACCGGAGAGCUCACUCCUUCAGCCCCUAGGGAGAGGAGGCGAAAUGGAUUUGCCAGCCUGACGUUCCUUCACAGGGCCCGCUCGCUAGUCGGUGGUCUGAUAGAGGCUGGGCUUCGCCUGGAAUUCCUAAGGGCUUGGGUCCCGCGGGGGAGGCAGAAGAGGGAGGUGCGCCAGGAGCCUGCUGGAUUUUCCCGGAGGAAUUUCUAUCUCCCUCUCUCUGCCACAGGUCUCAAGAGAAAGCCAGUCCCUGUUGAACUGUGGUCACCGCUUAGCUGCCCCCUGCCACCAGCCCACAAGUGGCUGCUGAGCAUCCUUGGGGAGGGGAGGCAGCCGGACAGAUGGGAUGCUACUGGGGUCUUGGAGUUUCCGCUCAUCCACUGCCUGCGGUGUCCUGGGUGCUGCUGGCGGGGCCUCUGGAGCCUCCACUCCUGGAGUUCUCGUGUUGCUUUGAAUUGGGUCCCCCUUUCAGCAGUGAUUGCUGCUGACCCUCAGCCCCAGCGCUGCGUGUUCGUCCAAAGGCUUCCCCUUCUCUGUGCCUCACAGUGGCCAUCAGGAGGCUUCAUCGUGUAUGGGGGGGGGGGAUGUGUCCCGCACUCUUCAUUUCACAGGACUUCAUUUCUCUGGGCUGCAGGCCUGUGGUGGGGCAUGGAGGAAGCUGCCAUCAUGUG
Molecule: long non-coding RNA, 786 nt
Organism: Ochotona princeps (American pika)
Lineage: Eukaryota; Metazoa; Chordata; Mammalia; Lagomorpha; Ochotonidae
Exons: 3
Source: RefSeq, a predicted model, not a curated record